CAAUAGCGUAUAUUAAAGUUGUUGCAGUUAAAAAGCUCGUAGUUGGAUUUCGGGGUGGCCUGGCUGGUCCGCCGCAAGGUGAGUACUGGUCAGCCGCCCUUCCUCUCGAAAGCCCCGACUGCUCUUUACUGCGGUGGUCGGGUAGUUCGGGACGUUUACUUUGAAAAAAUUAGAGUGUUCAAGGCAGGCUAUCGCCUGAAUACAUUAGCAUGGAAUAAUGGAAGAGGACCUCGGUCCUAUUUUGUUGGUUUCUAGGGCCGAAGUAAUGAUUAAGAGGGACAGUUGGGGGCAUUCGUAUUUAAUUGUCAGAGGUGAAAUUCUUGGAUUUAUGAAAGACGAACUAGUGCGAAAGCAUUUGCCAAGGAUGUUUUCAUUAA
This 377-nucleotide ribosomal RNA is filed under the name uncultured eukaryote. Its description in RNAcentral is "partial 18S ribosomal RNA". It matches the Rfam family "Eukaryotic small subunit ribosomal RNA", at positions 592 to 976 of the family's 1831-position model. The record is from RNAcentral.